RNAcentral lists this ribosomal RNA (407 nucleotides) under uncultured bacterium. Its description in RNAcentral is "partial 16S ribosomal RNA". It matches the Rfam family "Bacterial small subunit ribosomal RNA", at positions 30 to 526 of the family's 1533-position model. The record is from RNAcentral.
AUUGAACGCUGGCGGCAGGCCUAACACAUGCAAGUCGAGCGGAGCGGCGGACGGGUGAGUAAUGCCUAGGAAUCUGCCUGGUAGUGGGGGAUAACGUCCGGAAACGGGCGCUAAUACCGCAUAAUAUCAGAUGAGCCUAGGUAGGAUUAGCUAGUUGGGGGGGUAAAGGCCUACCAAGGCGACGAUCCGUAACUGGUAUGAGAUGCGGAUCAGUAACCCUGAAACUGAGACACGGUCCAUACUCCUAGGGUAGGCAGCAGUGGGGAAUAGUGGACAAUGGGCGAAAUCUGGAUCCAGCCAUGCCGCGUGUGUGAAGAAGGUCUUCGGAUUGUAAAGCACUUUAAGUUGGGAGGCGUUACCAACAGAAUAAGCACCGGCUAACUUCGUGCCAGCCGCCGCGGUAAUAC